This 64-nucleotide transfer RNA is filed under the name Cucujoidea sp. 36 KM-2017. RNAcentral describes it as "tRNA-Ile". The record is from RNAcentral. Lineage: Eukaryota; Metazoa; Arthropoda; Insecta; Coleoptera.
AAUAUUGUGCCUGAACAAAAGGAUUAUUUUGAUAGAAUAAAUUAUAUGCAUUGCAUCAAUAUUA